GUCCAUUAGUAAUCUUGUUUUUAGCAAGAUUGUGUCUGGUGAAGGAUACAGUUAUGGCAGGGUCAGAGAAGGAAUUGUUUGUUGGGAGCCAAACUCAGCCAGCUUAGGCGUUUCUAAGUGUAUCAGGCAAUUACAGAGAUAUAGCUUCAGGGAGCGUUUCUCUCUGCGGGAUUUUAGAAGAGUCUAAUGAGAUAAAUGUUGGGGCAGUGGUAAUGAUUCAUUUUCCAACCGUCCAGUUGGGACCCUGUUUGUGUCCUUCACUGCAGGUGCUAACCAGUUUUGUGGAAUUAGAGAAGAUGAUCAUGCUUCGAGAAGAUGAUCGUCCUUUAAGCCUCUGAAACAUUCAGGGAUUCAAGUUUUACACCAUUCUAUAUUAGUUAUUUAUUCAAUAAAUUUGUCCUAUAUGUUUUCUUGAACAAGC
This 421-nucleotide unclassified non-coding RNA is filed under the name Hevea brasiliensis (rubber tree). The record is from RNAcentral. Lineage: Eukaryota; Viridiplantae; Streptophyta; Magnoliopsida; Malpighiales; Euphorbiaceae.